AACUGAUCCAUGAGAGUAGGAACCCCAUCAUACGGGAAUUUCGAAAUCAUGGGUUUUUUG
Staphylococcus aureus subsp. aureus NCTC 8325 is the source of this 60-nucleotide regulatory RNA element. It matches the Rfam family "Staphylococcus aureus small RNA TEG147". From Rfam's summary of the family: TEG147 is an RNA element identified by RNA-seq in S. aureus N315 with homologues in other Staphylococcus species. Other names: sRNA85, srn_0960, SAOUHSCs103. Lineage: Bacteria; Bacillati; Bacillota; Bacilli; Caryophanales; Staphylococcaceae. The record is from Rfam.